Molecule: non-coding RNA, 31 nt
Filed under: Rattus norvegicus (Norway rat)
Lineage: Eukaryota; Metazoa; Chordata; Mammalia; Rodentia; Muridae
Source: RNAcentral
UGGUGACAUUUUGUUUUCUCCAAUUAUAAGC